Molecule: ribosomal RNA, 501 nt
Filed under: uncultured bacterium
Lineage: Bacteria
Description: partial 16S ribosomal RNA
Rfam family: Bacterial small subunit ribosomal RNA
Source: RNAcentral
AUUGAACGCUGGCGGCAGGCUUAACACAUGCAAGUCGAGCGGGGGAAGGUAGCUUGCUACCGGACCUAGCGGCGGACGGGUGAGUAAUGCUUAGGAAUCUGCCUAUUAGUGGGGGACAACAUCUCGAAAGGGAUGCCAAUCCCGCAUACGUCCUACGGGAGAAAACAGGGGAUCUUCGGACCUCGCGCUAAUAGAUGAGCCUAAGUCGGAGUAGCUAGUUGGUGGGGUAAAGGCCUACCAAGGCGACGAUCUGUAGCGGGUCUGAGAGGAUGAUCCGCCACACUGGGACUGAGACACGGCCCAGACUCCUACGGGAGGCAGCAGUGGGGAAUAUUGGACAAUGGGGGGAACCCUGAUCCAGCCAUGCCGCGUGUGCGAAGAAGGCCUUAUGGUUGUAAAGCACUUUAAGCGAGGAGGAGGCUACUCUAGUUAAUACCUAGGGAUAGUGGACGUUACUCGCAGAAUAAGCACCGGCUAACUCUGUGCCAGCCGCCGCCGUAA